Molecule: ribosomal RNA, 406 nt
Filed under: uncultured bacterium
Lineage: Bacteria
Description: partial 16S ribosomal RNA
Rfam family: Bacterial small subunit ribosomal RNA
Source: RNAcentral
AUUGAACGCUAGCGGCAGGCCUAACACAUGCAAGUAGAACGAGUGGCGGACGGGUGAGUAAUGUCUGGGAAACUGCCCGAUGGAGGGGGAUCACUACUGGAAACGGUAGCUAAUACCGCAUACCAUCGGAUGUGCCCAGAUGGGAUUAGGUAGUAGGUAGGGUAAAGGCUCACCUAGGCGACGCUCCCUAGCUGGUCUGAGAGGAUGACCAGCCACACUGGCACUGAGACACGGCCUAGAGUCCUACGGGAGUCAGCAGUGGGGAAUAUUGCACAUUGGGCACAAUCCUGAUGCAGCCAUGCCGCGUGUAUGAAGAAGGCCUGCGGGUUUUAAAGUACUUUCAGCGGGGAGGCGUUACCCGCAGAAUAAACACCGGCUAACUCCGUGCCAGCAGCCGCGGUAAUUC